Small nucleolar RNA from Brassica oleracea var. oleracea, 77 nucleotides. It matches the Rfam family "Small nucleolar RNA R12". From Rfam's summary of the family: snoR12 is a C/D box small nucleolar RNA, which acts as a methylation guide for 25S ribosomal RNA in plants. snoR12 has been alternatively named snoZ44 in Arabidopsis and snoZ131 in rice. The record is from Rfam. NCBI's taxonomy places the organism in Eukaryota, Viridiplantae, Streptophyta, Magnoliopsida, Brassicales, Brassicaceae.
GUGAGGGUGAUGAAAAAAAUCAUUCGGAUUCCCAAUGAAUAAAAAAUGUGAUUAUUUACCAGCUACUUUUGACUCAC